Molecule: long non-coding RNA, 2076 nt
Organism: Cucumis melo (muskmelon)
Lineage: Eukaryota; Viridiplantae; Streptophyta; Magnoliopsida; Cucurbitales; Cucurbitaceae
Exons: 2
Source: RefSeq, a predicted model, not a curated record
UGUAGCAUCGCAGCCCCAGACAGAUUUGGAAACCUGACCAUCAAACCACAGCGGCAGUUACAACGCCCUCACCACUCUAUAAAUACCACCUUUGUGUCUUAGUUUAGAGAUCCACUAAUCCCUCCAGCCUCGGGACCGACUUCCACAUUCCUUCCUCUCUUUUCUCUAUAAUUUUCCAUCUUUAUGAUGAAUCUUUGCCCCAUAAUUUUGUAUCCAUUUAAGAUAAGAUGUUAGAUAAUACGGGGUAGGGGUAUAAAGGUAAUUACAUAUGUGGCAUGGUUAUAAAUAGGAAGUUGGAAAGAGAAGAGAGGGCAUGAAGAUUUUAAGGAAGGCAAGGGUCUGCUAUACUCCUGAAGGAAGAGGGGAAGCAACAAAAGGCCAGACCCAUAAAUCUUGGAAAGGAAAUCAACAAUGGUGCAAACAUGGAUUGAAGAAAAACUGGAAGCCUUUGUAAAAGAAGUGAUCGGGAUGAAGAAAGAAUUAAGCAAAAUUCCGAAAAUUGAAGAAAAUCUGAGAUCCUUAACAAAGAGCAUUGAGCGGUUAAGAAUUCAAGCGAGGAAAACAACUGUUUUUAAACUGCAUUGAAACCCUAGUGAAGGAAAAAUCCACAGUGAGUGGAAGAAUCACAACAUCGACGAAUCAAAUACCAGUGAUGAAAAGUAUAAUUGAAGGAGAAAGUACAUCGACGAAAAGAACCGAGAAUGAAGAAUGAAAGGAGGAAAUAGAAAUUGAAGAGAAGGUGACUGGAGGAAGGACAUCAAUGAAAAGAAUCAAGAAUGAAGGACGAUUGGAGAAAAUAGAAAUUGAAGAGAAGGUGGUCGAUCGAAACAAGUUCGAAUGGUCAGUGUUUAUCGUAAGUAUUUCUGUUGGAACCACUUUAGGUUGUUAUCGAUCCACCAAGAACUGGUUGGAAUGAAUUAAAACAGAGGCUGAUAUUUAGUUUCUGACGAGUAAGGAAGAACUUAACUACGAACAAUUCUUAGCAAGCAAGCCGGAAAUCGUGGAAGAUCGAUGAGAAUUACCAGCAAGACCCGAAACGAAGAUCUAAGUGAAGAAAAAGUUGUUGUUCGAAGAAGUUGAAAUUGAUUGGUUGCGACGGAGAAGGAAGAUGCCGGAAGUUGACUGGUUCAGAUGGAAAAAGAGGAUGGCAGCAAACGUGCGGAAAGUGGUAGAAAAGGAGGUUAGAGGAAAAAAACUAAACCCUAAAAUCUUGUUCAAGUGGGCUUCAAUGUAUUUUAAAGGGUUUCAAUUCAUUUUAAAUAAAAGAGUGGAUGCCUAUUGUUAUGUAAAUGAAGUGGGUGGUGAGUCCCAAAAAUGGAAGAGAAGAAAAACGUGCAGAGAAGGAGGUUCCAAAAUUGAAACGAAGCGAUGGAAUGAUUCUGAUCUUCAUUAUGGGCUUAAUUGAUUAUGGGCCCAACCUAUUGGAGAAGAAAAGUUUGAAAACUAAACACCGGUUAAGUAUAAUAACGUGUAUGGAAAAAGGAAGAUUCAGAAAUAUUGAGCUUUGUUGUGGGUCGAAGGAAGAUUAUUCUGGGGGCUGAAGUCAUUGGGUCUAAUUGGAGUCAAUAAUUUUUUUUUUAAGUUGAAAGGAAAAUUUCAGAACAAAUCAUUGGGAAUGGUUGUGUAAAUAAAUUUUUUAUAAAAAAAAAAGGCAAAAAAAAGAGAGUUAAUUUUGUGAUUAUUUUUGUAAGCACAUCUCGAGGACAAGGUGUUUUUGAAGGGUUGGGUAAUGUUAGAUACCUAGAUUAUAGGACAAGGAUAUAAAGGUAAUUAGAUAUGUGGCAGUUAGAUGAUUAUAAAUAGGAAGUUGGGGAGAGAAGAGAGGACAUGAAGAUUUUAGUGAAGGCAAGGGACUAUUAUAUUCCUUGAGAGAGAGAGAGGGGAAGCAGAAGGCCAAGUGCUUUUGUUCUAGUUAUUAUUUCAUAUUGUAGUUUCUUUUUAAAUAUCAAUAAAGUAGAAAUAUUAUAUCAGUGUUCUAUCAGAAAAUUUGUAAGGUGUAAGAGUUUUGUUCUGAAUGGCUCACAACCUAAACAAAUUUGAAUGAAUGGUUAGAUAGACUCGUAAAGUGUUUGAUUA